AGGGUCUCUUUGAACCUGGAGCUUCUAUUUCAGCUAGACUGGUUGGCCAGUAAGCCCCGAGAGUCUGCCUGUCUCUAUCCCCCUCCAAGCACUGACUUAGAGUUCCAUGAUGUGGUGAUUAAGGCUCGCCAUAUGCUCGCCCUGCUGGGAGUGAGUACGUGGGAUAUAAAAGAUGGAGAUGAUCUGGUCCCUGCUGGCAGCAGCUUACUGUCCAGCUGAGGAAAUGGAAUGACUAAUACUGAGCAGCCAGCCACAUCCCCAGCAAGAGUGUGGAGUGUACCGGCCAAGUGGGAUCAGAUGACAGUCUCGGCAGAACGCGCUGGCAGGGGCCCAGACAAACAGGAAGCGGCCUCACUUCUGCCAUGCCCUUUGCAAAGGCUGAGCCUACACGCCCUGCCCACCCCCCCCAGCAAGGGCCAGCAUUGGGGAAGGAGUUGGGCACUGUGAGAGCUGAGACUGGUGAGCUGUGCUGGAGUUAUGAUGGCCGAAAGGACAGGAUGCACACAGAGCCUUGGGCAUCUGAGUGGAAACCCACUUCACCUCCAUCUCUGAAGACACUACCAGGAGCAGAAACGAACAGCGAGGAGCCUUCCCCACAGCUCAAACACGUCCAGCCAGGCCACACAAGUGGCAUGGAACGUUGGGCAGGCAGACAUCCCAUAUGGCCAGCUGAGGCAAGAGGAGCUGACAGCUUCACUACGGGAGAAGGCAGACACUGAAGACCACAACAGCAACUCACCCUGGCUCUCAAGCUUUUGGACCGGAACUCACACCCUCAGCUAUCCACGGUCUUCAGUGUGGGACUUGUUGGCCUUCGGAGUCAUUCCAGCCAGCUCCUCAUGCUGUUAUACAUGUCAUAUAUACAUCUGUGUAUAUAAUAUGUAAAAUACGUAGGUUUCAUAUUCUGUUGAUUCUGGUUCUCUGGAGGGCCCCGACUAAUCCAGGGAGACCCACCCCCUACUCAGAGAUAUCCCAGCAUGCUAAGCUGUAAAAGCUAACAGAGACGGGAGAGCUUUGUCCUGCUCCUGAACUAUAACAGCAGGCCUCUGAGCAGUACUGGGACAUCUGGUAGGGAGAUGAGUUCCGUGUUCUGAAAAGACCCUUCCAGUUCUCAGUCUCUGCUUUAAAAUGAACAUAGUGAAACCUCAUGUGGCCUUUCUGCCUAUGCAUCAGCAGGGCCCCUGUAGCCAGAGCAGAAGUCACAUGACAGAGGCUUGGUCCUUAGCUUCUCUUUUUGCCCCCACCAUUUCCACUACUGAGCUCACAGGGCAGGUGAGCUCCUCUGAUUCCUAACCCUUCCACAAAGAUGCUGAAAGAUAGGUGAGGAUAGCCAGGGAAUGGGAGACUGGGAGGAAGCCUAGGGAAUCCUGAGACAAUACCAGGAGACAGAGCAGCGGAUGAUAGACCAGCAGGAAGGAUGAAAGAACAGGUUAUCCCUACACCACGACCCCCUCCUGCUCCCCACUUCCAUGGCUCAGAGUCAUGGUAUGUACGGUGUGUGAGGCUCUGGGUGAAGACAGGAACCCAGAGCGUUUCUACAAGGAAAUAAUGGGCACAAAGAAGAUGUAAAGGCUACUUAACCCAGAAAGGAAAGUUCCCGUCUUUGUGUACUCUAAAUAAAGAUUAAGAAGGAAA
Non-coding RNA from Peromyscus maniculatus bairdii (prairie deer mouse), 1635 nucleotides. The record is from RefSeq and is a predicted model, not a curated record. Lineage: Eukaryota; Metazoa; Chordata; Mammalia; Rodentia; Cricetidae.